Non-coding RNA from Paramuricea clavata, 238 nucleotides. NCBI's taxonomy places the organism in Eukaryota, Metazoa, Cnidaria, Anthozoa, Malacalcyonacea, Plexauridae. The record is from the annotation of a GenBank genome assembly.
UCUUUUCUCAAAUUCACCCUAGUUUUGCACAGCAUGUGGUAUGAUUGCCGGCCUGGUGUCAGGUUACAAAGGACGUUAGGUACUAGUGAUUAGUAUUUUUAGUUUCUAUAGGUCAUAAGCUUUCUACUGAUAUAUAGUUUGUCAUAACUCUGGUGAAUAUCUUUAAAAUUACAGCCAUUUCAAAAAUGGCCAUCAAUCCAUGUGUACCCCCCCCCCCCUUAAUUGCUCCAACAUUCAC